Cyanistes caeruleus (blue tit) is the source of this 1536-nucleotide long non-coding RNA. RefSeq lists it as uncharacterized. Lineage: Eukaryota; Metazoa; Chordata; Aves; Passeriformes; Paridae. The record is from RefSeq and is a predicted model, not a curated record.
CUGCAAUGUUCUGCCAUGCUGGGAGAAAGAAUUUUACAUGUAUACUGAUCUCCAGUUAUCAACCACUUCAAACUAUGGAGAAGAAAUGAUGAGAGGGAGCAGUGAUAAAUACAAGAUGUGCCCCAAGUGCCUUGACACUGCUGAACUGCCAAGCUGCAGGACCUCGCCAAUUACACGGCUGCUUUUCCAUGGCAGACCUGUGUGUUAAUUCACAGGUGUCCAAGACCUAACAUGCAUUAAGGCAACGUAGAGGCUGCUGUUGCUUCUGACCACUGGAGUGAAAGGGAAGAGGUGUCCCUGCAAUCUAGAAUUCUUACACCCAAGGUAUUAAAACUUCUUCACCAAAGCUAUAACUCCAGUACGAUGGAGGCAAGCAAAAGCAUUAUGGCAAAUGUGAGACAACUCCAGAGGGGUUCAAACCAGUGAAGACAGAGGCCACACAAAGAUGCCAAUUAAUUAUCAAGGGGCAGAAAUCUCUUGAAGCUCAGUUUUCCUGCCUGCCUUUGUGGAAAACAUUCAACAAAUAAGAAGAGUCUCACAGCAUCUUGGGCUGAUCCUGUUUUCAGUAGUCAACCACUUAAAACUGUUUUGCAGAUCUGAGUAUUCUGAUGGACUAGUAAUUGUCUCUAGAGCAGCAGCAGAUAUGCUGCAGCAUUUUGUCUCAGGUUUUAUAAGAGGAAGGUAAAAUAACGCACUGAGAUGAUUUGGUCACAGAUAUUGCUGCCAUCUAAACUGACAAUAAAAGACCAUCUAGUCUGCUGUUGUUAUCAUAUGAACAUGUUGACUGUGGUCCAGAGAUGGAGGUGUGGAUAAUGUGCCUGCACUUGAAAUGUGCACUUCAACUACAGAACAUCUGGCAACUAGACUCAACAGAUCUGAUGCUGCUGAGAACCCCAUCUUCCCCAUCUCCCAAACUUCUGAUGCUUCAGCUUCAGAGCCUCUUGACACAGUGCAGGACAGAAGGUGUGAUCCUAGCUUCUGUUGCUACUGAUUCUGAACUGUCAUGCAUGCCAUAUACAAGGAAAAUACGACUUUCACUGGCCCAAUCAUACUCAUAAGGAAAAUUCUACCUCAGUUUCCCCAGGAAGUUGUCUUACAUUGGAAUUAGUUCAGAUUGACUCAGAGCACUAGCUGACAAAAUGCUGUGAGAAUUAUGUUAUAUUUAGUAAAUCCAAAGAAAUAUAUAUUGAUUUUCAUUCAUACAAAAUUAGAAAUCUCCCUCAGUUUGCUGAAACCAUUAUCCAGUUAGAACUGUCAAAGCAUUCAUCAUCUGGAAAACAUCAUCCUUAUAAAAUGAUUGCUACACACAGGUUAAUAAUGAUUCUUAGGUCGCUUAAUUUUGUGCCUAGUGGAAAUUUCUUUGAAUAAUUCCUGAAGAAUUUCAUGAGGAUGUUAUUGACUUGAAUAGAAGUUCAAAAUGCAUGGGUCUUAAACAAAAAAAACCAACUGAAUCAUUUAGUACAUGGAGUAUACUUUACACAAGAUCUGAAAUGAUCAGUGUUAUAUUAAAGAGCAACUAAUCGACUUCAUGUUCUG